RNAcentral lists this non-coding RNA (187 nucleotides) under Paenibacillus sp. YN15. RNAcentral describes it as "6S / SsrS RNA". It matches the Rfam family "6S / SsrS RNA". Rfam says of the family: E. coli 6S RNA was the first non coding RNA to be sequenced, but its function was unknown until recently. It consists of 184 nucleotides that fold into an extended hairpin structure with a large single-stranded internal bulge. The 6S RNA specifically associates with RNA polymerase holoenzyme containing the sigma70 specificity factor. Lineage: Bacteria; Bacillati; Bacillota; Bacilli; Caryophanales; Paenibacillaceae. The record is from Rfam by way of RNAcentral.
ACAUUCCUGCGAUGUGCGUAACAGUCCUCCGUUGUUUUGAACCAAUGAAUGUUUCUAGGGAGAUCUAGAUUGCCGCGCGGCUGACCCGCCCCCCUGAUGCGGGGGACUUCAAAAGCGCAGCUGCGAUCACCCACCUGCGAGAGCGGGUUUGAAGCAUAGAGGACCGGACGGCAUAGGCGGGUCACCC